Magnolia sinica is the source of this 2432-nucleotide RNA transcript. RefSeq lists it as uncharacterized. The transcript is spliced from 3 exons. The record is from RefSeq and is a predicted model, not a curated record. NCBI's taxonomy places the organism in Eukaryota, Viridiplantae, Streptophyta, Magnoliopsida, Magnoliales, Magnoliaceae.
ACACCACAUGAAAAUGUGAAAAUCGAAUGCCUACCAUUAAAAACUUGUUGAGGUCCUUAGAAGUUGUAGAUCAGGCUUAUAUUUAUAUUUUUCACUUAUCCAUGACUAUGUGACCCUGUGAAUGGGUUAGAUGGUGAAUAAACCUCAAUAUGGGCCCAGUAAAAUAAUCAACUUUCAACGGUGGACAAAUUAAGUCCAUUGUUUCAUGUGGGCCAAUUGAGCAUUAGAUCUUCCUAAUUUUUUCGGAUCAUGCUCUAAUAUAUUCUAGUAAAACAGAUGGACGACACGGAUAUAUUAUAUACUUUAUGGUGGGGUCCACGGGUUUAAGUCAAUAUUUUUGGACUGAUUUUCUAGGUAGAAUUACUCCCUCAUUUUCAAACAAGUGAAAAAGUAAUAAUUACUUUUUUUUAUCAGGGAUUUACCAGAAUCAUGGAAAAUCAAACAAGCCCUUAACCAUCUUGGUUACUGGAAUUACUGGCACAGUUUUACAAAAUUCUGUUGUAGUACUGUCUGAUAACCUUGUUGAUUUCUAGUUCAGGCCCCUAACUAAUUGCAUUUCUUUCUUGUGUAAUCCGAAUGAAGUGCCUAAGGUAUUGAUUGAGCUUUUCUUUUCCACAUGUAACAACUCUUAACGCAAGUCUGUCUCGCAUUAUCAGCACUUGUCAUUCAUGCAGUAGAACACAAGAAGCCCAUUGAGCAGCUAUUUUCUAGUCUUGACCGACUGCGAACCCAGGAUAAUGGUAAUAUUGCUGUUUUAGAGAUGCUUACUGUUCUUCCAGAGGAAGUCAUUGAGGAUCAAAAUACUGAUUGUAACAUCAGUUCGGAUCGUAGAUGCCAGUAUGGCCGAGAGGUUUGAGAAUUUUUACAAUCAUUAUUAUAGUACUCAUUCUUGAUUUUGUCCCAAGUUAUUUUUGAAGAAUCAUGGCUGUUCCUUUCUAUUCCCCUUGUGCAUGCUGCAUGAUAAUCUUAUUAUAUUUAUUCUGAUGUUGCAUGAUCAUCUUGCUAUAUUUAUUUUGUUCUUCAUAGAUGGAUGUAUUUCUUCUACUCAUAAGGCAACCUUUGAUUCUCAAACAGCUUCUUUACAUACUCCUAUUGUUCUUGAAUUCCUGCUGCACCAAUCUGAGCAACGAUCUGAGGAUGGUGUUCAGCUUCAUGAGAAGAGUGGGAAAAUAUUGAGAUGUUUGCUGAGUUGGUGGCAUGUGUAGAAGUUCGUCGCGUCCAUCAUGUUACACUUUUUACUGGAACUCCUGAGUUGCCAUCUGAAAGCUUAGCUGAAUCUUAGGUUCGUGCUGGCUGCAUCUCAAAGAUUCCUCCCUCCUCACUGCCAACUCACCCACUUCUUAAUUUUUGUCUUCAACUCCUUGCAGGUUUCCUCUUCAUUUGAUCUGGCCAUUGAAGUUCUCACGGAGCUUGUGAGUCGGUAUGAGGUAUGGAUGGGCCAGUUCUUGCUUAUAUGAUGAAAAAUUACAAUUAAAACAAUCACAUCCUAUUUCUGCAUCUUAUUGCCUUUCUGGAGGGGUGAGAUAUUUUGCAUGGAUUUGUACUUCAACAAUUGUAUUUCUUUAUGUGCUUUUAACAACCAUCUCUCCGGCAGGGUGUACCCCAGGUUUUGUUGUUCAGGGUACAGUUUCUUAAAGAAGCACUUCUUCUACCUGCUCUUGCUAAUAGCGAUGAGCAAGUAAUUGGUGGUCUUGCAUGCUUGAUGUCCGAAAUUGGCAGUUGCGACAAGCUAUGAUCUUUCCUUAUUUUGCAUUUGUGUGUUUGUUUCUUUCUAAAUCUUUUUUAAUCAUCCAAAGUUGUACAUAUUUAGCAUUCUAAAGGUCGGGUCAAAAUGGGAUACACUUUUUGAAUUGAGUUCUAUAGUUGUCUCCUAAUCACCUCCAAGACCGACCAACUCUUGUAUGAUUUUGAUUGUAUUGAUAGGGUGUUUGAUUAUUUUGGCCUGAAACCAUAGAUUGAAAUUGAUUUAAAAGGAGAAUUGAUCUAUAACAUUUAUUUAGAUAUAUAUAAUUUAUGGAGCUUUGAUUUUUUCUUUUUUUUGUGUGUGUGUGUAAAUUUAGUUAGAAGUAUUAGACUAUCAAACAGCCUCCAAAAGGAGUCAGAUCUGGACAGAUUGAAUUGCAGAAUUGUACUUAUAGUACAGAUUCCAAAAAUCAUUUUUUUAAUGGCUGGAGGUAAAUACAGCCUUAUGUUUUUUUAAUAACAUGGUAGGAAUCUGAAAUUUAAGGCUAUGUUUCCUUUUGUCUGUGGCUUGAUUUUGAGUUUUAUGAUGGAUUUUCAUGAAAGCUUCUUUUACAAUUGCAUUUUCAUUUAAUUUCCUUUUUAUUCCAUGCAGGUGAUGAUAAAAACCUGGAGCAAGUGGUGGCGAUGGUUUUGAACUCGUUCCAAGAUCCCCCACCCUCGUGUGCGCUGGGCAGCUAUUAAUGCAAAUA